AACAUUCAGCCCACCCGCACCCUUCAAUGAGAACGUAUUCUGUAUGGACUAUUUUGAAUGUUUCUUUGUGAUCCUACCAGAUCCCAUCAUCUUCACUUCCUUCAGCCUAAAGUCCAUGGCUCUUCCUCUCUUGCUUUCCUCUUCUUUUUCCCAUCAUGUAGCAGCUGAAAUGGACGAUAGCAGUUGAAGCAAGGGAUGGCAGUGGAAAUUCAAGUAAUAAGCAAGAGCAGCUGGCUGCACAAUACACACAAACGGCAACCAUGUUUAGCUUUUCUUUGAAUAUCUGCUGCUGUCCAGAAUUUAUGUAUUGGCUGUGUAACCAAGUGGAGGGAAGGUAGAAACAUGCAUAAUUCGUGCAAUCUACUGCUUGAAGAGGUUGUUAAGAGAUGAAGUUAUCUCGAAAUUAUAAAAUUACAGGUUGUUAAGAGAUGAAGUUAUCUCGAAGUUAUAAAAUUAUAGGUUUGAUAUACCUUUUAUUGCAUUUAUCCAAUAGAUGUCUAUUUUUAGUAUUGGAAAAAUAUUUGUAUUGUUUUUGACAUUCUCUAUUACUGCCAGUAUUGAUGGUUUACCUUGCAAACAUCAUAUAUUCAAAAAUUAUGUUGUCUCUUACUUGUGAUUUGAGAGAUAUACUAAAUAAUUAGGGAUAAAUAGGCACGGGAGUUUUUACUAUUAUUUUGCCAAAGCAUCUACUCUUCACUAGAAUUGUUACAUGCAUGGACUGGAAGGGGGAGGGGGGUUAACCCCGUGUUUGGGUGACCCUGUCUUGAUAGCGGGAGGCAGAUUGGAGCCACCACCGUCAGACCACAUGGUUCAACACCACAUUUUUUACAAAAACAGUCCAAUAAAGAUGCAAACAAAAAUCAACAAACUUACGGAUAAAAACAAACAAACAUAUUAGAAAAUAUCACAAAUCCAACAAAAAGCCAAAACAAACUCACAAAAACGAAACAAAUAAACGAAACUAAGUAAUAAUCAUGCACAAACCCACAUGCCGUGUGGGCCAAAGGCCCAACCAGGCACCUGCCCGCUAGCCUUUGAAACAGGCGAAUUAAAGCUCGUCCACCCAUAGAAUUAGGCAGGUAGUAGACUUGCUCUCCAUCGCAUUAUUGGCCAAGGUGUUGGUUUUUAUCCUUACCGAUUUGGUCGGCUUAGCUCGUAAUUUUUGCAUAUCAUUUAUCAUCUCAUCAUCUUUUCAUGUCAUGAUCUCAUUACAUUGUCUUCAUAGCCUUCACGAUUCAUCCAUUUAUAUCCAUAUAC
Juglans microcarpa x Juglans regia is the source of this 1257-nucleotide long non-coding RNA. RefSeq lists it as uncharacterized. The record is from RefSeq and is a predicted model, not a curated record. The transcript is spliced from 7 exons. NCBI's taxonomy places the organism in Eukaryota, Viridiplantae, Streptophyta, Magnoliopsida, Fagales, Juglandaceae.